GACGAACGCUGGCGGCGUGCUUAACACAUGCAAGUCGAACGGAAAGGCCCUGCUUGCAGGGUACUCGAGUGGCGAACGGGUGAGUAACACGUGGGUGAUCUGCCCUGCACUUCGGGAUAAGCCUGGGAAACUGGGUCUAAUACCGGAUAGGAGCCAUUCUGAGUGUGAGGGGUGGAAAGAUUUUUCGGUUUAGGAUGAGCGCGCGGCCUAUUAGCUUGUUGGUGGGGUAAUGGCCUACCAAGGCGGCGACGGGUAGCCGGCCUGGGGGGGUGGACGGCCACAUUGGGGCUGGGGUUCGGCCCAGGCCUCCACCGGGGGCAGGAGGGGGGAAUUUUGCACAAUGGGGGCGAGCCUGAUGCAGCGACGCCGCGGGGGGGAUGGCGGCCUUCGGGUUGUAAACUCCUUUCGCUAGGGACGAAGCUUUGUGUGACGGUACCUAGAUAAGAAGCACCGGCUAACUACGUG
Molecule: ribosomal RNA, 465 nt
Filed under: uncultured bacterium
Lineage: Bacteria
Description: partial 16S ribosomal RNA
Rfam family: Bacterial small subunit ribosomal RNA
Source: RNAcentral